AUGUCUUCCACUCUUCUUCCUCCUCUCUUCUUCUUCCUGCUCUCUUCCCCAUCGUCGGCCGCACACCAUUUACCCCCGCUCACUGCCCGCCCGCCCGCGCCAUCUUCCUUGGACCUGGAAUCAUACCAGCCGAUGGUACCAUAUAACUGGAAUUACCGAUGCAAGUCGAAGAAGGAUUGGCCGGUGCUGCCGGCUGGCGCCAAGUUCGAUCCCACGGACCAGGAGCUGAUCGAUCACCUUGAGGCCAAAGUGAGUGCUGACAGCGCGAGAUCUGACCCUCUCAUCGAUUUGUUCAUACCAACCAUCGAUAGCGAGUACGGCAUAUGCUACACCCAACCUGAGAAACUUCCAGGUAUCACACUGAGUGGCCUAAGGAAACAUUUCUUCCAGCACAAUUCUAGGGCAUUCAAAAGGGGCACGUGGACGCGUCGCAAGAUACAGUCGGAGUGCGGCAUGCACGCGAUGUGGCACAAGACCGGCAAUACCUUGCCGGUGAUGGUCAAUGGUCGGCAGACGGGCAGCAAAAAGGUUCUGGUGCUGUACACCAACAAGAACAUCGACCAUUCCCACAAAAAAAAGAAAAAAAGAACUUGGACCAGCAGAGGACCAACUAGGUCGAGCAAGUUUCAACUGGGCUGUAGACUGCCCAGGCUUGGUUUUGUUUUUAGCAGGCCCAGCCCAUGA
This 684-nucleotide ribosomal RNA is filed under the name Triticum aestivum (bread wheat). RNAcentral describes it as "partial small subunit ribosomal RNA". The record is from RNAcentral. Lineage: Eukaryota; Viridiplantae; Streptophyta; Magnoliopsida; Poales; Poaceae.